Molecule: long non-coding RNA, 3264 nt
Organism: Pistacia vera
Lineage: Eukaryota; Viridiplantae; Streptophyta; Magnoliopsida; Sapindales; Anacardiaceae
Exons: 8
Source: RefSeq, a predicted model, not a curated record
UUGUUUUUGAUGAUGUGACACAUUCAAAACAAAUAAAAUUAAUUGUUUUUGAUGAUGUGACACAUUUAAAACAAAUAAAAUUAAUCGGGGAUCUUGAAUACUUGGGUUCAGGAAGUCGAAUCAUUACAAACUUAUAACAACAAGGGAUAAACAAGUGCUUAAAAAUUGUGGUCCGAAUGAUGCUACCAUAUAUGAAGUCAAAGGAUUAAGUAGGAAUGAAUCUCUUCUACUUUUUCAACAAUAUGCCUUCAAACAAAGCCAUCCCAUCUUUGAAGAUUACAUUGAGCUAUCAAAUAGAGUAAUAAGUUAUACCAAAGGUGUGCCAUUAGCUCUUAUAGUCUUGGGUUCCUUUCUAUUUGGUUCCACAUAAGGAUAUCCAAACAAUACUGAAGAUAAGUCAUGAUGGACUGGAUGAUGAAGAGAAAUAUUUAUUUCUAGAUAUUGCAUUCUUCUUUUAAGGAUGGGAUGAAAGUCUUGUGAGAGAAAUUUUAAACUCCAUUGCUCUGCACAUAUUGGAAUGAGUGUUCUCAUUGCUCUUAACUAUUUCAUACAACACCAUAAGAAUGCAUGAUUUGCUUCAAGAGAUGGGAAGAUAAAUUGUUCGACAAGAAUCGAUUAAUAAACCCGGCAAACAUAGUCGAUUGUGGCAUCAUAAUGAUGUUUAUCAUGUAUUGAGAGAAAAUAUGGGAAGUGAUACAAUACAAGGCAUAUGCUUUGAAAUGUCUGAAAUAAGAGAGAUAUAUUUAAAUACUUUUGCUUUCUUGGGGAUGGAUAAUCUAAGAUUCUUGAUAGUGUAUAACUCAAAAUAUAGAGACAAUAACACUAAGAAGCAUGGUUUUGAAGGCCUUAAAUUUGAUUUUGCAGAGCUUAGAUGCCUUUAUUGGAAUGAUUACCCCUGCACAUAGUUGCCUUUGAAAUUUUAUCAUGAGAACCUUGUUGUACUGAAGAUGCGCAACGACAAUCUUUAGCAACUAUGGACUAGUAUUAAGAAUCUCGACAAUUUAAAAUAUGUUGACCUAAGUUUCUCAAAACAUCUAUUUAAAAUCCCAAACCUCACACGCGCCAAAUAUAGAGAGCUCGAUUCUAUAAGACUGACAAGUUUGGUUGAGAUCACUCUUCCAGCUAUUCAACAUCCCAAUAAACUUUUUAAUUUGAAUCUCAGAAAUUGCAAAAGUCUCAUCAGUCUUUCAAUUGGUAUUCAAUUAAAAUCUAGAGAUGUUAUUCUCUCUACCUGCUGAAAUCUCAAGACAGCUCCAAGUAUCUCAUAUAAUAUGGAACAACUGUAUUUCGAUGGAACUGCAAUAAAAGGAUUAUUUUCUUCCAUUGAAUGUCCUUUCAAACAAGUCGAAUGGAAUCUUAUGGGCUGUUCAAGGCUUGAAAGUCUUCCAAGAAGCAUUUAUAUAUUGAAAUCUCUUUGAUAUCUUAAUCUAUCUGGUUGCUGAAAUCUAAAAUUGGUUCUGGAGAUCUCAUGCAAUAUAGAAUGGGGGUGUUAGCUAUCACAUAUGUUUGCAAGUUUGCAGAGUUACCUAAUGAUCUUGGCCAGUUGUCCUUACUCAGAAUUUUAGAAUUAGCUUGAAACAAUUUUGAGAGCAUAUCAACAAGCAUUGUCAAGCUUUUUAAGUUGUGGUUCCUUGGCAUAGGGUUUUGUAAUAAGCUUCCAUCCUUACGAAAGCUGCCAUUUAGUACAGAAAAGCUAAAUGCAGAGUGUUGUGAAUUGCUGAAAGCAUUAUCAGGGUUGACAAUUAGAAGCCAUGGAUUUUACGACAGGACAUUUAACUUCACCACUUGCUCCAAUUCUGACUGGUAUGCACUCAGAAAGAUAUGAAGACAUCAUCUGACUUUAUGGACAGUCCUCAAGGUUGUAUGUGUUUCUCUGGAAGUGAACUUCCAGAGUGGUUUGACAUUCAAAGUAUUGGAUCUUCUAUAGAGCUACCACAAGGUUCGUUCAAUCGUAAGUGUGUAGGUUUUGUCUUUGUCAAAGUUCAUAAUUUGUGCUGUAGUAUGGAGGUUGAGUGUGAUUUCGUUUGAAAUGCAAAGGAUCUGGAUACAAGACAGCUGCUGAAAAAGGUUUUUCAUAUAUUCAACUUGAGUAUAUGAAAUCAGAUCAUGUAUUCUUGGGGUAUAGUUGCAGAACAUGUGAUUUUCGUGAAUUCUCUUCCAGUACAGAGGUCAUUAUCAAUUUCAGCCCAAAAGUGUGGGAUUCUUUUGUUGUUCGCUCAAGAGGUUUGAGGUACCUAUGAAAAGAUCCAGAUGUUCCAUCUUUGAUGAAGAGGGAGAGCAAGGGGAUGCACACUCCAAGAGAUUGAAAUCAGAUAUGUGGACUGGAGUGGACAAGCAUCCCCAAAGAGAUUAUUCAUUGGACAUGGCUUGAAUAGCAGCAGGAAUGAAAAUAAGCUAUGCUUGUGGAAGUACCCUUCAUGACUAGAGUUGGGUAGUUAAAGUGCAAAGCUUUAGAAUCCUUGAGCUUUCCCAGUUUUUUGCAUAGGCCGGAUGGCCAGCUGGGGUGGAUGAGAUCCCUUCACUUCUGGGAGAUUUUCAAACCAUCUUCCAACGAAGAUUCAAAUGUUUCAUAUAUUGACAGCCAUCUAUCUCGAAGGACAACUAAAGAUGGUCUUGAGAAAGUGUGGAAUGUGAAACCUUUUGGUCAAUGGGAAAGAGAUUAUGAAUAUUUUGCAGCUUAAAUAUGGAGGGCCACCUCUUAGGGAGUGGUAACAAAAACUGCUUGCAUGGCAGCUUUCCCAUCCCUCUGGGACUGCAGAGGAGGGCCUUGACUGGAUGAAGCAGACAUACUUCGUGUAAAGCUGCAGUCCGGCAACUCAGUUGAUUGAUCUAAGCUAUAGUUAGCGUUCGUUCUUCGGAUUAUACAUUUUUUUUUCUUUCUUAUUUAUGAGAUACUGAGGCUGGAUAAGCACUCUGAUGCACGUGAACAUCCAUCGGUCCUGGAUGCCAAAGCUUAUUAUCUUUGCAGCGAGAUGGAUUGGGGUCAUUCUACAGCAAGGAGAUUUUAUCUUCCUGACGGCGGUAAGGGAGGGAACGAAAGACAGAGAUUCAGGUUAAUGUGUGAGUUAACAAUUUUGUAUAGAUCCUCAAAUCUGUCUAUUAACUUGUAUUUAAUAUCCAUAGAUUUUGUAGUGUCUAGUUUGAAAUGCGCAAUUAUUAUCGUUCUGCAUUUCUGAUUUGUUAUGAAAUUCAGUAGGACAGAUGGCUUCAACCUCACACGAUGAUAAUAUUUAUAAUCAUAUUAAUGAUGCGUAAUUCUUUAAU